UCCAGAGAUGGAUUGGUGCCUUCGGGAACUGUGAGACAGGUGCUGCAUGGCUGUCGUCAGCUCGUGUUGUGAAAUGUUGGGUUAAGUCCCGCAACGAGCGCAACCCUUAUCCUUUGUUGCCAGCGGUUCGGCCGGGAACUCAAAGGAGACUGCCAGUGAUAAACUGGAGGAAGGUGGGGAUGACGUCAAGUCAUCAUGGCCCUUACGACCAGGGCUACACACGUGCUACAAUGGCAUAUACAAAGAGAAGCGACC
RNAcentral lists this ribosomal RNA (255 nucleotides) under Klebsiella pneumoniae. RNAcentral describes it as "partial 16S ribosomal RNA". It matches the Rfam family "Bacterial small subunit ribosomal RNA", at positions 999 to 1254 of the family's 1533-position model. The record is from RNAcentral. Lineage: Bacteria; Pseudomonadati; Pseudomonadota; Gammaproteobacteria; Enterobacterales; Enterobacteriaceae.